AGAGAGGAGCAAUACAGAUCCAAACAUGUUCAUCGUGAACUACACCGGUGACCACACCCACCCUCGUCCCAUACAUAGAAACUCACUCGCCGGGAGUACCAGAAACAAAUUCCUAAGCACCCAAAAGCCUGCUAACAAGAGAUCGGAGGAGCCAAGUGCUGGAAAGGCUCCCUGCUCGUCUCCCCUUUCGGCGACAAGUCUCUCUCCAACAACCCCACUGUCAG
This 224-nucleotide unclassified non-coding RNA is filed under the name Hevea brasiliensis (rubber tree). Lineage: Eukaryota; Viridiplantae; Streptophyta; Magnoliopsida; Malpighiales; Euphorbiaceae. The record is from RNAcentral.